CUGCAAUGCAUGAGACAGGGUGCUCAGGGCUGGUGCACUGGGAUGACCCUGGGGGAUGGAGUGGGGAGAAGGUGGGAGGGGCGUUCAGGACAGGGAACACAUGUACACCCAUGGCUGUCUCAUGUGAAUGUAUGGCAAAACCACCACAAUAUUGUAAAGUAGCCUCCAAUUAAAAUUUAAAAAAGAAUUCACACACAAAAAGAAUUUCUCUGAACCUGUUUAUCUUAAAAAAAAAAAAUAAAGAAAGAAAGAAGGAAGCUGGGAUAGCUAGAUAUCUUCUGCUACUUCCAGCUCUAAAAUCUAAAGUUUCUCUCCAGACCCAAACAAGCCUGAGAUGAAAAUUUUAAACAGAUUUUUGAAGAGCAAAUCUUGAAGUAAGGAUACCUGUUUCCCAGUCCACACUCCCCCUUCCUCAAUGAAUAUUUGUUGGGAAAUAUUCAAAGGUAUAUAGGACGCACUGGAUAUUUCACAGUUCUUGUCCUUAGCACAGCUUUGUCACUCACCCACUCUGAGGCGGGUGGUGUCACGUCAGCGGCAUGGCAUCCCUUUAACCCCACCUAGAAGAGCCUCUCUUUUCUCAGUACCUUUGAAGUGACGCAUCAAGCACAUGAAGCUUCCUACCUCCCCAUGGAAUGACCACAAGCUUUCUUCAGGAUGUGUUAAAUGAGUCUGUGUUCUCUCAACUGAGGGGCCCUAGGCAGCUCAGUGCACACUCAGGACUUCAAGAGCUAGAGACCUUUUUUUCUGCCAGAACGUUCUUAUAUCAUCAAGUAACACUGGUGUAGAAUGAGUCAGGAAUUCACACACACACACACACACACACACUUCUGAGGAAGCCUUCCACAACUCCAAUUUCGCGGAAGGAAGAUAAGCACAGAGGGCACACAAGCACGCAAUCUCCCAGAAAACCGGGUAUUUUUUCUAAGGACUAGGCGACAGGACUUGCACCCGAAGAAACGCCGGACAGAUCAACAACCCCUCCUCUGGCUCCGGACGCUCGGAGUGCCCAGUCCCUCUCGGCACGGGCCAC
This is a long non-coding RNA of Bos taurus (domestic cattle), 1030 nucleotides long. The record is from Ensembl. Lineage: Eukaryota; Metazoa; Chordata; Mammalia; Artiodactyla; Bovidae.